Molecule: transfer RNA, 84 nt
Filed under: Chitinophagaceae bacterium
Lineage: Bacteria; Pseudomonadati; Bacteroidota; Chitinophagia; Chitinophagales; Chitinophagaceae
Description: tRNA-Ser
Rfam family: tRNA
About the family: Transfer RNA (tRNA) molecules are approximately 80 nucleotides in length. Their secondary structure includes four short double-helical elements and three loops (D, anti-codon, and T loops). Further hydrogen bonds mediate the characteristic L-shaped molecular structure. tRNAs have two regions of fundamental functional importance: the anti-codon, which is responsible for specific mRNA codon recognition, and the 3' end, to which the tRNAs corresponding amino acid is attached (by aminoacyl-tRNA synthetases). tRNAs cope with the degeneracy of the genetic code in two manners: having more than one tRNA (with a specific anti-codon) for a particular amino acid; and 'wobble' base-pairing, i.e. permitting non-standard base-pairing at the 3rd anti-codon position.
Source: RNAcentral
GGAGAGUUGGCAGAGCGGUAUCGCACUGGCUUGCUAAGUCAUGGUCGGGUUUUGCCCGGGUAAGUUCGAUUCUUACACUCUCCG